UACGUAGGGUGCGAGCGUUGUCCGGAAUUAUUGGGUCGUAAAGAGCUUGUAGGCGGUUUGUCGCGUCUGCCGUGAAAAUUCGAGGCUCAACCUCGAACUUGCGGUGGGUGACGGGCAGACUAGAGUGUGGUAGGGGAGACUGGAAUUCCUGGUGUAGCGGUGAAAUGCGCAGAUAUCAGGAGGAACACCGAUGGCGAAGGCAGGUCUCUGGGCCACUACUGACGCUGAGAAGCGAAAGCAUGGGGAGCGAACAGG
This 255-nucleotide ribosomal RNA is filed under the name uncultured bacterium. RNAcentral's name for it is "partial 16S ribosomal RNA". It matches the Rfam family "Bacterial small subunit ribosomal RNA", at positions 524 to 776 of the family's 1533-position model. The record is from RNAcentral.